UUGNUCCUGGCUCAGAUUGAACGCUGGCGGCAUGCCUUACACAUGCAAGUCGAACGGCAGCACGGGGGCAACCCUGGUGGCGAGUGGCGAACGGGUGAGUAACAUAUCGGAACGUGCCCUGGAGUGGGGGAUAACUAGUCGAAAGAUUAGCUAAUACCGCAUACGAUCUACGGAUGAAAGUGGGGGAUCGCAAGACCUCAUGCUCGUGGAGCGGCCGAUAUCUGAUUAGCUAGUUGGUGGGGUAAAGGCCUACCAAGGCAUCGAUCAGUAGCUGGUCUGAGAGGACGACCAGCCACACUGGGACUGAGACACGGCCCAGACUCCUACGGGAGGCAGCAGUGGGGAAUUUUGGACAAUGGGCGCAAGCCUGAUCCAGCAAUGCCGCGUGAGUGAAGAAGGCCUUCGGGUUGUAAAGCUCUUUUGUCAGGGAAGAAACGGUGNGAGGUUAAUACCUUCUGCUAAUGACGGUACCUGAAGAAUAAGCACCGGCUAACUACGUGCCAGCAGCCGCGGUAAUACGUAGGGUGCAAGCGUUAAUCGGAAUUACUGGGCGUAAAGCGUGCGCAGGCGGUUGUGCAAGACAGAUGUGAAAUCCCCGG
RNAcentral lists this ribosomal RNA (599 nucleotides) under bacterium enrichment culture clone F61x_D60_T3_D08. RNAcentral's name for it is "bacterial SSU rRNA". It matches the Rfam family "Bacterial small subunit ribosomal RNA", at positions 13 to 606 of the family's 1533-position model. The record is from RNAcentral.